This is a long non-coding RNA of Austrofundulus limnaeus, 1922 nucleotides long. RefSeq lists it as uncharacterized. The transcript has 3 exons. The record is from RefSeq and is a predicted model, not a curated record. Lineage: Eukaryota; Metazoa; Chordata; Actinopteri; Cyprinodontiformes; Rivulidae.
UCUUUUUCUACAGAUGACCCCACGUCUCCGGAAGGGGGAACUGGUCCACCUCCCCAGCCUCAUCGCACAGACGGUCUCCCAGUGUGAAGCAGGAUUUGAGUAAUCGAUGCUGGAGGUAGCAGGGGGUUAAACGGUGCCAUCUCUGUUCCUGAUGGAGGCAGCAGCUUUACCUUCAUUGACUAGUGGAAGAGACGAGGACAGGUCAAYGCUGGAGAUGAGCUGUCUCCAGGGUGAAGCUGAACGCAUUCAACAAAGCUAAGAUCCUGUGAGGAGGUGAAGUGAAGGAUCUUCCUUUCACCAACAAGAAACAAACAGGAAUAAACACCAGCCCAUUUCUCCUCAUCACUGAGCUUUCCUCCUCCCUGACUCAUGGCCAGACACUCCUCACUCCAGGUGACACACUCUGGGCAGCAGGGUGGGUGACCAAAAAACCCAGGAUCCUGACUUCACACUCCAACUAGAGCGGCUGGAUGAAGAGUAUCCAUGCAUAUGAUGCAAAGCAGAUCACACAGACUGACUUCCUCACAGUCAUUGAAGGUGACUCUAAUGACCUUAACACCAUCUCUACCACUCUCAAAGUGUGCAGACUCUGCUGACAGAGUCACAAUGGUGACCUUUGAACUUCAGAUUUGGGUGAAGACCGUGGACAUCCUAAAGCAGGCAAGUCUACCGGUCAUUGCAAGGUUGGUGAAUUUCACUGCUUGAACCAAUGGGUAACAUCAUGCAGGAUUCUGGACUACUAGAGGUGUUUUCAUUGAUUUAUUCUGGAAGUACGACAGGUAAUCUGUGCUCCCUUCCUCAUCAAUGCAGCCAUCUAUCAGCACAUCACGAAACUGUCAUUGCAGUCAUYGAGGAGGAACGUGGUGACAUAAGGACCACCUUCAUGGAGAAGUUGGCUGAUGGGAGCUAUGCACACAUAGUAUUUGCAGUAUUUGAGYAGACAUUUGAAGAAAUCUUCAAACAACUCACAAAAGACGGAAGAACACCUGCACUCUGAGUACAGUACCAACACAUGGUAGAGGUGAUCAAGGUCUUUAUCAGAACCAAGCAAGUUGCAGACCACAAUGGGCAUCUCUCGUGCAUUAUUAACAAGAUGCUUGACAUCUUUGCUGCUGAAGGYCAUCAUCAAUACACCAAGGGUGCAUGGCUGUACUUUCAACUCAUCAAGGAUGUCAAAACUUUACCUACUUACAAAGACACAUUAGAAAACAUUUCACUGCCCACAGAAAGGCACUGACAGGUACUCCUCCCCUGAGUGGUCUGGCACUUGGUGUAACAUCUGCAUUGAGCAGACAUCAAUGAAGGCAGCGAGGUCAGACGGUGGACUGAGCAGAGAAAGAUUGAGAAACUGUUUCUGGCUAGAAGUGCUGGGUGCUCACCCUCAGUCACCUCUCUGACAUCAACCAGUGGAUGAAGACAUCAGGAAACAUGUUCCACUACAGAGGGUUAGGGUUAGACACAGACGAAGYGAAAAGCAGAGGCAUUUGAACCUGCCCUACAGAACAUGCCAUUCAACAAUGGCUAAGACAAUGAGAUGUGCAUGUCUUUCUUUACAGGAUUCACAAGCACAGUAGAUGACUUGGUCAAUGCUGAGAGAGCAGCUGAAGUAGGGACAGAGAUGCAGACAAAGCCGCAUGGGGAGUGGUGGUGCAGAGGUUAGAGAAGGUGACCCUGUGAUUGGAAGACCAUUCGUUCAACUCCCCGGACUGACCAGCCCCACUUUGGGCCCUUGAAUGAGAAAUAAUUCAGAAUUAUAGAUGUAUGUGUGAAACGAAGAGAAAUGAUCAUUUAAUAAUAAUAAAAAAAUAAUAACUAAACUGUAAGCUAGUGAUUCUGAUUGUAUUUAGACCAGCAGCGAAGACUUUGCUGGCCCUGACAGCCCACCACUGAUAUGUGAAAUAAAAGCUAUUUUGAAUGUAAAA